RNA transcript from Oncorhynchus nerka (sockeye salmon), 4577 nucleotides. It is a transcript of the gene named src kinase-associated phosphoprotein 1-like, with no coding region annotated. The transcript has 14 exons. The record is from RefSeq and is a predicted model, not a curated record. NCBI's taxonomy places the organism in Eukaryota, Metazoa, Chordata, Actinopteri, Salmoniformes, Salmonidae.
GGAUGCAUACAGGUCCCUGUAUGCAUCCAACUUCAAGUAUGAAUAAAGCCUGAUGUGACGAGGUGAUAUAGACCUAACAACUGAAUAACAUAAUUCAGAGGAAGAAGCAUUUAGUCACAUCAUGCUCCGCCCCAUUUUUGCAAUUCUUAUUUUGCAUUAGAUGCAUGCACGGAAAUAGUUUUUGUCACAACGUGUACAGGUGUUGCAUGAGUGUAUUAGUAUAGUGUGUGAGUAUCCAAAUGCUUUCAUUUCAAGCAGGGAACUGUUACAAUAUGACAGGAGUCCGUCCGGUCUACACAGAUUCCAUAACUUUUCAAAAAGUAUAGUUUUGAUUGACUUGAUCAACAUUUGUCUGAAAAUUCCUCUGGCACUUUGAUGGAAGGAUGGGGACAGUCUCUGAAGAAGUUAGGAGGCUUUUGAAUGACUGUGAGCUGUUUGUAUCAGAUAUCCUACAGGAUGAGAACCUCAGUAAACAUGCCAGGGAAACACGGGGCGUCUUGCUUAAUAACUUCAGGGUGAUCUACUCCAGAAAUCCUCAGGCGUUUCCCUUCAGAUCUGAGUCCAGACAGGAGGACAGUUCAGAUGACAACCAGAGCUCCAGUCUGGGCCGCUCGGCCCCCUCAGAAGACCUGUCAGUGGCCUCUGACUACCAGGACGAGGGCUCUCUCGACUACUUUGAGGAGAUCCAAAUGGUGGCAGCCCAGGAUCUCAGCAACAUCUUGAAACAAGGCUACCUGGAGAAGAAACGACAAGAUCACAGCUUCUUCAGCUUAGAAUGGCAAAAGCGAUGGUGUGUCCUCAAAAACACAAUAUUCUACUACUUUGGGAGUGACAAAGACAAGCAGCAGAAGGGCGCCUUCUAUAUCAAGGGUUACAGUGCAGAGAUGGUGGCCAACCUACGUAAAGACUCCAAGAAAAAUGCCUGCUUUGAGCUGAGUGCCCCUGGCCGACACUCCUUCCAGUUCACUGCUAGCAGUGUGCGAGAAGCCAGGGAAUGGGUGGACCAGAUCAACUUUGUCCUGAAAGAUUUGAGUUCCAGCUUUAUCCCCUUUGAGGAUGAGACCUAUGAUGACAUUGAGGGGGUGACGGGGGUGGCCAGCCGUCCCCCUUGGCCCGCCCCCUUCCCGGUCCUGCCCCAGCAGGUCAAAGCCUCUCUCAGUAGCCAGGAGGAAGGGAAGCCCAGCCAGUGGGAGGAACAGGAAGAGGAUGAUAUCUACGAGGUGCUCCCAGAGGAUGACAUUCCAGGAUCCAUUGAGGAGAUCAGUGAGAAGAGCACGAAACCAGUGUGGUCCAUAGACUAUGCCAAUUACUACCAGGGCUUGUGGGACUGUGAGGCAGACGAGACUGACGAGCUGGCCUUCCAAAGAGGUGACCUCAUCUACAUCGUCAGUAAGGUCAGCAUCAACAAGGAGUAUAACAUCAAUGGCUGGUGGGUCGGAGAGCUAAACGGAACCAUCGGUAUUGUCCCUAAAGACUUCCUCCAUCCUGCCUACAUCCUCUGAGCUCCCAAGAGGCCUCCUGACACCCAUUGAGAUAACCAUUGAAAUAGCAGGAGAGGUGUAUAUUCACAGCGGUGGACUGGCCAUUUAAGACAUCUGGUGGCUGAAAGUAGAACUGCAAUUACUGCAUAGACCCAAGUUGAGUGAUGUGACUGACUACAUUCUCAAUCCCCAACACUUCGAGAUUGAUGACAGAUUGACCUUUUUUAUUAUUUUGUAAUAUAGCGUUAUGCUGUUAGUGGCAUUCUUGUUUUUGUAAAGAUAUGCUUCAUUUCCAUGCAUAAAUUACAUUACCAUGGUUCUUCUGAGGCAUUUGGUGUAUACAUCAAAUUCUGGAUAAUGCUGAUGUCACAAAAAGGUUUCCUCUGUUCAAUUGUUUCCAAUGUAUUUGUGCCCAUGUGUGUGAAUGGAAAUUGCCAGACAUUGAGGAAUCAUUAUGCCCCUGUGAAAAAAAAUAAGAAAUCCUCACCUCUGGUGAACUGGGGGUCUGUCUAUUCCAUAUUAUGAAGCAUACGAACUGGUGCCUUCAACAGCCUUGUGUCUGAGGCUACAGUGCUUCUUAUUCUGAUGCUGACUUCAAAUAUGUAGGCCACAAGGGGUCAGGCAUGCUCCCUGGUGCGAUUUAAUCAUUUUUCAAUUAAGUGUUUGAAAUUGGAAUACCUGAUCAUUUGCGAUAAGAAAACAUAUUUAUUUUUGAUUUUUGAGCCUGUAAAAAUAUUGUUAGAUAUUUAAAUUCCACAAUAUGAUGUACAUAAGAACUUGUUUGACUGUGCAUAUGAAAGUCUAUGGCAAUAUAAAUGUCUGGAAACGAAAGAAACACCUAUUUAGGCGAGGUGCUGGCUAAUAUAAAUGUCUAAAUGUCAUGCACUAAAGUACUCAGAUGCAAAGUACAGGUGGGGGAAAACUACAGUGCCCUCCACUAAUAUUGGCACACUUGGUAAAUAUGAGCAAAACUGGCUGUGAAAGAAAUGUCUUUGUUUAUCCUCUUGGUCUUUCAUUCAAAAUAUUCACAAAAAUCUAACCUUUAAUUAAAGUAAAAUAAUUGAAAAUAAGAAAAUAAAUUCAUAAAACAAAUAUUUUUCUAAAAUAUAUGUGUGCCUCAAUUAUUGGAACCCCUUCAUUCAAUAAUUUGUGCAACCUCCCUUUGACAAGAUAACUGCUCUGAGUCUUCUCCUAUAAUGCAUAAUGAGGUUGGAGAACACAUGGUAAGGGAUCAGAAUCUCUCCAGAUCCUUCAGAUUCCGUGGUGCUGACACGGCAAGGUUUUCUAUGGGGUUUAGGUUGUGGAUUGGGAUGGCCAUGGCAAAACCUUGAUUCUGUGGUCAGUGAACCUUUUUUGUGUUGAUUUUGAGGUGUGCUUUGGAUCAUUGUCCUGCAGGAUGAUCCAACCACGGCCCAGUUUAAGCUUUCUAGCAGAGGCAGUCAGGUUUUGAUUUAAUAUUUUUUACAUUUAACCUUUAUUUAACUAGGUAAGUCAGUUAAGAACAAAUUCUUAUUUUACAAUGAUGGCUUACCCCAGCCAAAACCUCCCCUAGCACGGAUGACACUGGGCCAAUUGUGCGCCGCCCUAUGGGACUCCCGAUCAUGGCCGGUUGGGAUACAGCCCGGGAUCUGUUGUGACGCCUCUAGCAAACUGUAGGCGCUUGGGUUUGUUUGAUGACAGCAAAUGCCUUUUUUCUAUGGCAACCAUCCCAAACAACUUGUGGUUAUGUAGGUGGCGUCUGAUCGUGGUUUUGGAGAAUUUCUGACCCCAAGACCCAACUAACGUCUGCAAUUCUCCAGCUGUGAUCCUUGGAGAUUAUUUGGCCACUCGAACCAUCCUCCUCACUGUGUUUGGGGUCAAUAUAGACAUGAGUCCUCUUCCAGGCCGAUUGUUAACAUCUCUAGUUGCUUUAAACUUCAGUUAGAUUUUACUCAUAAGAAUUUCUAGGGGUGCCAAUAAUCGUGACACGUUUCAGAGUAAAAUAUUUAAUUUAUUUAAAUCAUUUUACUUAGAUUUUUGUGAAUAUUUUGAAAGGCAGACAUUUUUUCACAGCCCGUUUUGCUCAUAUUUACCAAGGGUACCAAUAUUAGUGGAGGGCACUAACAAAUUAUAUUCCACAGAAAUAUUGUCAUCAAUAGGUGCAUUCCUAGUUUAUUUUUGACUAUUUUUAGGUAGGUAUAUUGCCCUUGUACAUCCUUGUAUGAACUACCUAAGUGGAAAAAAACUGUCUGGUAAUCAUCUACAUAACAUAAAAGGGGUACUUCAAACAACUGCUAUGCCACUUAAAUAAACGAAUGCACUGUUAAAAGGCUGAAUAUAAGAACAAACAUCCCCAACAUUGCAAAACACUGUACAGUGUGUUUGGGACUUUUACCAUUGAAGACAAUUAGACCAUAACAUUGAAACCAGUAGAACUGCUGUAGCCUGAUGGUUUGCUUUUUCAACAGGGAUGUUAACUAAUCCAGACCUUUUCUGAAGGGAAUAAACCACACACGGUUCAUUUCCUGGACACAGAUUAAGCCGAAGAGAAGGACAAACUGAAGUACUGGCUUGAAUUGGGAGGAUGAUCACGAGCAAAAGCUUUUGGUUUACUUCCCAAAGUUGCAAAGAAAAUGUUGCGAUCCAUUUAAUAAACACAGGAGACUAGCCAAACUGAUGACAUGGAACAGGAACAGCGACUUUACAUAAUAUGAAAAAGCAAUACUACAAGGCGCAGCUUCAUGUCAGACAUAGCAAACUGAUACUGUAUACUGGUUAUUGGGGUGGGAUUGGUGUAGUGUGGGGGGAUCCAUGGGUGGAUUUGGAUCACAUCUUACUCAUUUGUCAGGAAGAAUGAUGGUUCAAAUAGGAUGUUAGGUACUGUAUUUAUUUCUCAGAGAUCAAAUUAUAUUUCCACAAAAUAAUGUUUCUGGAAUGAAACCUGUUUCAAGCACAAUUCUUGUGCUUUUAGGUGGAACGACACUCAUCCUCGUUUGUUCAAGCUGAACCCAGAAACCUGCCCCACAACAGCAACACAGAAUGGCUAAGGGAACGCAUGCAGGAUGACACUUUUCCCCCCCAGAACUUAUGAAUAAAACACAGUCAAAGUUGAUGGCA